GAUGAACGCUGGCGGCGUGCCUAAUACAUGCAAGUCGAGCGAACGGACGAGAAGCUUGCUUCUCUGAUGUUAGCGGCGGACGGGUGAGUAACACGUGGAUAACCUACCUAUAAGACUGGGAUAACUUCGGGAAACCGGAGCUAAUACCGGAUAAUAUUUUGAACCGCAUGGUUCAAAAGUGAAAGACGGUCUUGCUGUCACUUAUAGAUGGAUCCGCGCUGCAUUAGCUAGUUGGUAAGGUAACGGCUUACCAAGGCAACGAUGCAUAGCCGACCUGAGAGGGUGAUCGGCCACACUGGAACUGAGACACGGUCCAGACUCCUACGGGAGGCAGCAGUAGGGAAUCUUCCGCAAUGGGCGAAAGCCUGACGGAGCAACGCCGCGUGAGUGAUGAAGGUCUUCGGAUCGUAAAACUCUGUUAUUAGGGAAGAACAUAUGUGUAAGUAACUGUGCACAUCUUGACGGUACCUAAUCAGAAAGCCACGGCUAACUACGUGCCAGCAGCCGCGGUAAUACGUAGGUGGCAAGCGUUAUCCGGAAUUAUUGGGCGUAAAGCGCGCAUAGGCGGUUUUUUAAGUCUGAUGUGAAAGCCCACGGCUCAACCGUGGAGGGUCAUUGGAAACUGGAAAACUUGAGUGCAGAAGAGGAAAGUGGAAUUCCAUGUGUAGCGGUGAAAUGCGCAGAGAUAUGGAGGAACACCAGUGGCGAAGGCGACUUUCUGGUCUGUAACUGACGCUGAUGUGCGAAAGCGUGGGGAUCAAACAGGAUUAGAUACCCUGGUAGUCCACGCCGUAAACGAUGAGUGCUAAGUGUUAGGGGGUUUCCGCCCCUUAGUGCUGCAGCUAACGCAUUAAGCACUCCGCCUGGGGAGUACGACCGCAAGGUUGAAACUCAAAGGAAUUGACGGGGACCCGCACAAGCGGUGGAGCAUGUGGUUUAAUUCGAAGCAACGCGAAGAACCUUACCAAAUCUUGACAUCCUUUGACAACUCUAGAGAUAGAGCUUUCCCCUUCGGGGGACAAAGUGACAGGUGGUGCAUGGUUGUCGUCAGCUCGUGUCGUGAGAUGUUGGGUUAAGUCCCGCAACGAGCGCAACCCUUAAGCUUAGUUGCCAUCAUUAAGUUGGGCACUCUAAGUUGACUGCCGGUGACAAACCGGAGGAAGGUGGGGAUGACGUCAAAUCAUCAUGCCCCUUAUGAUUUGGGCUACACACGUGCUACAAUGGACAAUACAAAGGGCAGCGAAACCGUGAGGUCAAGCAAAUCCCAUAAAGUUGUUCUCAGUUCGGAUUGUAGUCUGCAACUCGACUACAUGAAGCUGGAAUCGCUAGUAAUCGUAGAUCAGCAUGCUACGGUGAAUACGUUCCCGGGUCU
RNAcentral lists this ribosomal RNA (1372 nucleotides) under uncultured bacterium. RNAcentral's name for it is "bacterial SSU rRNA". It matches the Rfam family "Bacterial small subunit ribosomal RNA", at positions 28 to 1381 of the family's 1533-position model. The record is from RNAcentral.